GGGAGUUACAGAUAUCAAGGUUAGAGUCUUACUGUCUGAGCAGCCAGGCUUAAGACAAAAGUGGGAGUUCAAGGUUUCCAUUCCUGAACUGAAAGUCUGAAUUUAAUACUUGCUUAAUACUUCUUUGGAGGCUUUUUGUCAUUAAAUAUGGCUGAUGUUGGUGGUCAGGUCAGUUAGGGGAAAACCAUAAAUUUAGGGUUCCUGAUUUCUCUGAAACACUUUCGGCAAGUGUGUGAGGAUGGGCCUUUAUCCUGAGACAUGCUCAUGGCUCCUUGCACCUGAGGAAUGCUCUGUGGCGAGCUGAAGAGAAUCAGUGGGAGGCUGUUGCCAGUGUUGGAUAAUUCUGAACUACUAAAAACUCAAUCAAGUCCAAAUUUCACACCUGGCCUUAUAAUGGACGAGAGUGAAACCCCAGAGCAGAGCACAGCCGACCAUAUAAGAAAGACUGAAAAAUUUUACCUAAGGUCAGAGCAUCUGAUGAAUGGGUUAAAGUGGAAUGGCUGUCGGAAACCAGAAAUGUAACCAAGGGCCAGGAUAGGAAGAAGCAUCAUGACUGGAUGAAAGAAGAGGCAGUAAGUGACUCCAUUGGUUUGAAAAGACCUAAAUCUACAGGUGUCAUUCCCAUUCUGCUGCACAUCACAUAAACCUUUCCUGCAAAAGACUCGGCCUGUGUCAUCCUGCUAACAGGGAAAUUUGAAGGUUGGGCUUCCUUCACAUGUUUGUUAGGUCCCUCUCUUCUUAUAGGCCUGGACUUCUUACAGUAUCCUUCUGACUUCUAAUGUGUCCUUCUGACACAUUCUUUAGAUAUGCAACUGGGCACUAACUCAACUUAUUUUCUACUCUAUUUUAAUUCCAGCACUUUUCAUUUGGGAUUUGAAGACUUUAGUACUAGAGGCCCAACCUGACAAUUCAGGCAUGCAUUGUAAUGUUUUAGGGUAGGGCAUAUAUGACAGUAUUUUAGUAAGGAGACAGUGUUUGGAAAAGUGAAGAUGCUAUAGGGAUUAAUUCAGACUUGUGAAAAGAAUAGACAAAAUAUUCUGUUGGGUUUCCUUUCACCAUUGUUAGAACAAUGGUAAUACUGAGUAACAAAACGUCUACUCUCUGUCUUUUUCAAUAAUUAAGUUGAUAAAAAAUAUAUAAAAUGUAACUGAAAAGGACAGGUAUGUGUCACCAUAAGGGUGCUCUGUGUCACAAAGCACGUAUGUGUUAGCUCCAACCAAAACAACCACCCACUCAGGGUACUAAAGGGUAGGCAUGCUGUUAUGACCCAGAUUCAAAUGGUGAGAGUAGGAGUGAGAAAGUGAAAGUGUUAAUAAUACUUCAAGCACAGAGCUAAUGAGAGGGGAAUUUCUGGGAUUCCCCUUUCUUUCUUGUUCUCUCUCAAAAGAAAACUACAGAGUUCCCUCAAAAAGAAAAAGAAAAAAAAAAAAAAGAAAGAAAAAAAAAGCAUCUCUUUGGGUUAUCAACAAAUACUGAACUUGAAGACUGAGUGAUGUGCAGCACAACUGUGUGCCUAUCAUGGCUGAAAA
Molecule: long non-coding RNA, 1529 nt
Filed under: Anas platyrhynchos platyrhynchos (common mallard)
Lineage: Eukaryota; Metazoa; Chordata; Aves; Anseriformes; Anatidae
Description: lncRNA (ENSAPLG00000020094.1)
Source: RNAcentral